CCUACGGGUGGCAGCAGUGAGGAAUAUUGGUCAAUGGACGAGAGUCUGAACCAGCCAAGUAGCGUGAAGGAUGAAUGCCCUAUGGGUUGUAAACUUCUUUUAUAUGGGAAUAAAAUGUUCCACGUGUGGGAUUUUGUAUGUACCAUAUGAAUAAGGAUCGGCUAACUCCGUGCCAGCAGCCGCGGUAAUACGGAGGAUCCGAGCGUUAUCCGGAUUUAUUGGGUUUAAAGGGUGCGUAGGUGGAUUGGUAAGUCAGUUGGGAAAGUUUGGGGCUCAACCGUAAGAUUGCAGUUGAAACUGGCAGUCUUGAGUACAGUAGAGGUAGGCGGAAUGCGUGGUGUAGCGGUGAAAUGCUUAGAUAUCGCGAAGAACUCCGAUUGCGAAGGCAGCUCACUGGACUGCAACUGACACUGAGGCUCGAAAGUGUGGGUAUCAAACAGGAUUAGAUACCCGAGUAGUC
This 460-nucleotide ribosomal RNA is filed under the name uncultured bacterium. RNAcentral describes it as "partial 16S ribosomal RNA". It matches the Rfam family "Bacterial small subunit ribosomal RNA", at positions 338 to 795 of the family's 1533-position model. The record is from RNAcentral.